UACCUAGUUUUAUAAUUACUCCGUCAACCAUUUACCAAUCUCCUCAUGACAGCAUUUCUCACACGUACAGAGGCAGCGAGCGGCGGACGAGGAGAGCCAUCUUGAGGGGGUUAGCGGAGGGGAGACAGACGGGGCAGCCUCACACCUCACACCUGCUCUCCCUCCCUCCCUCCCUCCCUCCGUGAUGCAGUGUUUCGGCGCCACACAGACACGCUGCUUCGGCCGGAACCGGAGGCAGUCCAGAGCUGGGAAAAAAAAGCCUGCAAAAGCCCUGCUCCCAAAAGUGUACAAGAGGAAUAUUCCAAAUAAAGGUUCAAAUAUAGUUGAA
Eriocheir sinensis (Chinese mitten crab) is the source of this 328-nucleotide long non-coding RNA. RefSeq lists it as uncharacterized. Lineage: Eukaryota; Metazoa; Arthropoda; Malacostraca; Decapoda; Varunidae. The transcript is spliced from 2 exons. The record is from RefSeq and is a predicted model, not a curated record.